This 932-nucleotide ribosomal RNA is filed under the name Agaricus sp. Its description in RNAcentral is "LSU rRNA". It matches the Rfam family "Eukaryotic large subunit ribosomal RNA", at positions 34 to 953 of the family's 3401-position model. Lineage: Eukaryota; Fungi; Basidiomycota; Agaricomycetes; Agaricales; Agaricaceae. The record is from RNAcentral.
UUAAGCAUAUCAAUAAGCGGAGGAAAAGAAACUAACAAGGAUUCCCCUAGUAACUGCGAGUGAAGCGGGAAAAGCUCAAAUUUAAAAUCUGGCAGUCUCUGGCUGUCCGAGUUGUAAUCUAGAGAAGUAAUGCCCGUGCUGGACCGUGUAUAAGUCUCCUGGGAUGGGGCGUCAUAGAGGGUGAGAAUCCCGUCUUUGACACGGACUACCAGUGCAUUGUGGUAUGCUCUCAAAGAGUCGAGUUGUUUGGGAAUGCAGCUCAAAAUGGGUGGUAAAUUCCAUCUAAAGCUAAAUAUUGGCGAGAGACCGAUAGCGAACAAGUACCGUGAGGGAAAGAUGAAAAGAACUUUGGAAAGAGAGUUAAACAGUACGUGAAAUUGCUGAAAGGGAAACGCUUGAAGUCAGUCGCGUUGGCCGGGAAUCAGCCUUGCUUUUGCUUGGUGUACUUUCUGGUUGACGGGUCAGCAUCAAUUUUGACCGCUGGAAAAAGGCCUGGGGAAUGUGGCAGCUUCGGCUGUGUUAUAGCCCCUAGUCGCAUACAGUGGCUGGGAUUGAGGAACUCAGCACGCCGCAAGGCCGGGUUUCGACCACGUUCGUGCUUAGGAUGCUGGCAUAAUGGCUUUAAGCGACCCGUCUUGAAACACGGACCAAGGAGUCUAACAUGCCUGCGAGUAUUUGGGCGGAAAACCCAAGUGCGUAAUGAAAGUGAAAGUUGAGAUCCCUGUCGUGGGGAGCAUCGACGCCCGGACCAGAACUUUUGGGACGGAUCCGCGGUGGAGCAUGUAUGUUGGGACCCGAAAGAUGGUGAACUAUGCCUGAAUAGGGUGAAGCCAGAGGAAACUCUGGUGGAGGCUCGUAGCGAUUCUGACGUGCAAAUCGAUCGUCAAAUUUGGGUAUAGGGGCGAAAGACUAAUCGAACCAUCUAGUAGCUG